UACAUUUAAAUCAGAGAAGAAGUGAAUCGGAAGGAAUUAGUGAGGAUUUUGUGGAGUUACUCAGCGGAGAAGUGAAUCGGAAGGAAUUGGUUUACUUAUGGAAUUUGAUGGGGGUUUGAUGUUAUGAAUGGCUGAGCAGUUAGUGAAUAUGACUUUUUCUGUUUGCAUAAUAUGCUAGAGGUAAUUUGCUGUCUGGAGGGAGCUAGAAUUGGCAUCCAGUAUGAGACAUCUUUUGUCAUUAAAACCCAUCAUUUCUAAUGUUUAUAAUUUUGGCACAAGCUUUGAACCAUACCAAUGGUACACAGAGCUUUGCCAGAAAAGCGUAUGAAAGGGCGCGCAAAAAUCUCCCAGUUAAUCCACUCAGUAUGUUCAUGGUAACUCACAAGGCUAGUAAGCUGGGUAAACUGUGUGAAGAUUGGCAGAGAUGAAACGGAUUAGUGAGAAGGUUCAUCUAGGGAAGUCAGCUACACGCCUGAGGAAAUAUAUGCAAUGGUUGUUGAUCCUCGUCGUACUGGUGUUAAGCGUGCUCGUAAGUCAAAAGUUGCUACUCGCUUCAGUCUACAUGAGAAAAAUGAAGCACACAUGUCUGCUCUCCAAGAACAGCUGGACUCUGCAAAAGAAGAAAGUUGCAAAGCAAGACAAAGAUAUCUCAAAGCUUCAACGGAGGGAGCGUAAUCUCACAGAGUAUUUGAAUGAGGCUUUGAAGAUGCUUGGUUGUGAACCCGUGCCAGAUGAUCUAGAAGAUGAGUCUGAAGAUGAACGUCAACAGGAGAAUGAAGUUGAAGAUGGAUUUACUUGGGAUGACUUGCGCGAAGAUGAUUUGCAGGAUGAUGGAUGUGCUGAUGUUAAUAAGGAGAAUGAACUAUCUGGAGAGGAAGAUGGUGAGGAAAUUAAUGAAUGAUGUGUGUGCAGUUGUGUUUUGAUGAAUAUACAGGCCUCAUGCCGUUCACUGGACCCUUUUUUGCCCUUUGUUCAGACCUUUUGUUCUUUUCGGGGAUGGGUUGUAAACCAGUUAUGUUUCUUUUUUUUU
Molecule: long non-coding RNA, 1030 nt
Organism: Papaver somniferum (opium poppy)
Lineage: Eukaryota; Viridiplantae; Streptophyta; Magnoliopsida; Ranunculales; Papaveraceae
Exons: 5
Source: RefSeq, a predicted model, not a curated record